Molecule: long non-coding RNA, 449 nt
Organism: Suricata suricatta (meerkat)
Lineage: Eukaryota; Metazoa; Chordata; Mammalia; Carnivora; Herpestidae
Exons: 2
Source: RefSeq, a predicted model, not a curated record
AUUUUUGUGCAUGCUAGGCAGAGGGUCCCUAUGUGACCAGCUCCCGGUGAGAACCACGGAUGCUGAGUCUCUAACGAUCCUCUCUGCCUCCAGGGGGAUGAGACCCACAUGUGAAUAAGCCAGUUUUCCUCCAGUAGAAUGUUUCCUGGGAUACAGCAUGGGCAAGGAGUGCUCUUUGGAACAGAAGACAUUGAAGCUGUUUCGAAUGACGAUGAGGAAUUUGCAAGGUGCAAAAGUGAGGGAAGGCGUUCCAGGUGGAGGGAACAAAGUGAGAUGGCAUCAGCUGGAGGAGAGAAUUGUGAAGUGUCAGGCACAGCCCAGGAAGGAGCGGCCAUGCACACAGUACCUCGGACCAGAUUGUGCAUGUGCUUGGGUGACACCCUAAGAGAUUUUCAGGGUUUCUUAAUGUAGCUCUUGGCUUUAUUAAAAAUAUAUUCCUAUAUUAGUCA